CCUGGCGGCCAUAGCGCCGUGGAACCACCUGAACCCAUGCCGAACUCAGAAGUGAAACGCGGUAGCGCCGAUGGUAGUGUGGCAUUCGCC
Molecule: ribosomal RNA, 90 nt
Filed under: Aeromonas enteropelogenes
Lineage: Bacteria; Pseudomonadati; Pseudomonadota; Gammaproteobacteria; Aeromonadales; Aeromonadaceae
Source: RNAcentral